UACCUGCAGCCCGAGUGGUGGCCGUUAUUAUUGGGCCUAAAGCGUGCGUAGCCGGCUGAGUAGAUGCCUGUGUAAAUCGAACGGCUUAACCGUUCGAACUGCGGGUAGACCGCUCAGCUUGGGACCGGGAGAGUCACGAAGUACUCCGGGGGUAGAGGUGAAAUGCGCAGAUAUCAGGAGGAACACCGGUGGCGAAGGCGGGUCUCUGGGCAACAACUGACGCUGAGGAGCGAAAGCGUGGGGAGCGAACAGG
This 253-nucleotide ribosomal RNA is filed under the name uncultured bacterium. RNAcentral describes it as "partial 16S ribosomal RNA". It matches the Rfam family "Bacterial small subunit ribosomal RNA", at positions 524 to 776 of the family's 1533-position model. The record is from RNAcentral.